UACGUAGGGCGCAAGCGUUGUCCGGAAUUAUUGGGCGUAAAGAGCUCGUAGGCGGUUUGUCGCGUCUGUCGUGAAAGCUUGGGGCUUAACCCCAAGUCUGCGGUGGAUACGGGCAGACUAGAGGCAGGUAGGGGAGAACGGAAUUCCCGGUGUAGCGGUGAAAUGCGCAGAUAUCGGGAGGAACACCGGUGGCGAAGGCGGUUCUCUGGGCAAUUCCUGACGCUGAGGCGCGAAAGCGUGGGGAGCAAACGGG
Molecule: ribosomal RNA, 253 nt
Filed under: uncultured bacterium
Lineage: Bacteria
Description: partial 16S ribosomal RNA
Rfam family: Bacterial small subunit ribosomal RNA
Source: RNAcentral